Gambusia affinis (western mosquitofish) is the source of this 1070-nucleotide long non-coding RNA. RefSeq lists it as uncharacterized. The record is from RefSeq and is a predicted model, not a curated record. Lineage: Eukaryota; Metazoa; Chordata; Actinopteri; Cyprinodontiformes; Poeciliidae. The transcript has 3 exons.
CAGACAUUUUACUUCGCUCGAUUAGCACAGUAAGCUUAGAGAGCGUCAAUUAAACAUGUCCUGGAAACACCCUUAAACUGUACGUAAUGUAACAGCUGAGGGUUGCUGACAAGUGUAAAGGAUUAUAAGACGAAACACCAAUGCCUAGGAGUUUUUUUUUUUCUGACUUCAGCAGCUGCUGGAGAUUUGUAAACAUCUGGAAAUGAUCUACCAGGUUGUGGUCAGUAGAAUAGAUGGAGAGAAAACCACGAUUGACCUCUGCAACACCGAGCAGGAGAUGAAGAAAAUAACUGUGAAUCAGCUGAAAGAAAAGAUAUUUGACAAGUUUUCUUGGUACUCAGAACGUGCAAAAAAGGACCUAAAAUUGAUCUUUGCAAACAAGAGACUGAAUGACGACACGAAGAGGCUGUUUGACUAUGGAAUCACACACAAGUCCUACAUACAGAUGGUUAUAAGUUUAGAUGGUGGAGGAGAACCUGAACCGGGUUUUACUGACGAUGGUCUGGGUGAUAAGGAGGGUGAAACUCGGAGAAGUAAAGAAUGUCUUAUGCCUGAUGUCUAAAAUGCUUCGUUUCACACAUUAAAUGGAAUCACAUCGCUCCUCAUUCUCAAUUAAAUGUUUUUAAAUAAGUUUAAAUAAAUAAAUAAAAUGUUCUGCCAGAUUCUGAAUGUAUUGAACAUUAUCACAUCUCUCUGUAUGAUCAGCAGAGAUAUUUGCCUGUUUCUUGGUAUUUUCAGUGAGUCAAACAGAGAGAACAAAUGUCGAGCAGCUUCAACAAACUUGUGUUUUGAAUUAAUAAAUAAAAUGUUGGAUUUAAAAAGGGCUCUUUUUCCCUUCCAUGCAAUUUAAACAAUGAAAUACAGCAGAUAAUGUAAGAUAAUUUGCUGCAAACCUGAAGAGGAACAUUGUGAAAACCACAGAUGAGUCAAAUUCAGACCAAAUUCUAGAUUAAGAAUCAAAGUGUUGGGAUUAAAGUGAUCUACAGGAUAUUCUCUCAGCUCCAGUUCUUGUGUUGGAAUGGGUCUGAUUAUUAAAGCGCUUUAUCCAGGCAGGUUUUGAGUCUCCUCCU